UCAGAUUUGCAGGGUUUGGAAUUCACAUAUGAUGUUCACAGACAGAAGACACUAAAUAAAUUAACAAAAGAGACUGUGCAUAAAAUGAGUUUAUACAACUGUGAUCUGUGCAGCUUUGGACUGAAAUACAGUCAGGGAAUUGCUCUUGGUUUAUCUGGAGACUCCCCCCAGUUUGGUUUCACACCUUGCCCAGUAAUUCAAACAAGCUGAAUGUAUCUUUGCCUUCCAGCACUGUUAAAUUAAUGUUCCUACAACUGGAAUUUCUAAACUCAAAGUUAUCUUUUUAAAGAAGACCCUGGCUCUGUAGUGGGGAACAAUGGAAGAUUUAAUGCAGUUUCUGUGUGCUUUUGUAGUUAAAAGCAUUUUUAAAAAUUGAUUUAAAAUAAAGUCCUACACCUGACAACAAAGAAUAUUGAUAAAUACAGUCAAAGAACUGCAAACAGUCUAAUCUGUUUGGGUUCAAUUCAGGCCUGGCAGCUCUGCAGGAUGAAAUAAUCCACAUAGGAUAAUUCUGGAAUGGGCAAAGGUCCCCAGUGCAGCCUCUGGAUUGGAGUGUGGAGGCACCAUUUGUUGGAGCAGAAGGAUAAUUAAGUUUUUGUUCCUCUUCGCUUGCACCGAGAUGAUUAGCACGGGAAUCUCAUGCUUCCGAGUUUUGCAAGGCAGACACUUUUCUGAUAAGAAUUGGAUUUGCUCAUUUCAGUCACUCUGGUAAACAACCAUCAGAGGACAACUUCUCCCAGCGCAGCGUCAGGCUCGUGGCAGCGGGACGCACCUUGCCACGCUCAGCUCUCUCGGCUCCUCAGAAGUUUAGAGGUCAACAAUUUAUGUAGUCCAGUCAGCAAGAAACGUGUAGCAUCUACUUCUCUGAAUCAGAGAGCUGGCUGAUGUCAAGGGUUUACAAAUGCACCGUCACGAUCUGUUUGUGGACACUGUGAGACAAAGCCAGCUCAUGUAAAAACUUGUGCUAGGAACUGUUGUCAAGCUUGAAAUGCCUUGUGUAUCCAUCAUCAAACAUAUUUAAAAGAAAGAGCCUCUGGUUAAAGAUGAGAGGAGGGAAUACAAACCCUUUUUUAAUCAGUCUGAACAGAAUUUACUUUCCAUUUCUUACUGACUUUCUAUUUGGUCUGCAAUUUAUCUCAUGGUUCAGCUUUCUGAACCCGGUUACAGGUAUGAGCCACAGAGAGAGAGCAGCAAUCCCUUCUGGAAAUGGCUUGGGAUUACCAUGGAGGAAGCAGGAGCAUUGGUGAGAUUUUGAAGAUGGAAGAGUGAAAGAUGAGGUGCUAAAUCUGAGACUGUGGCUGCUAAAAUGAGCUGCUGAACAUCAGAGAGCAAGAAUUACUGCAUUUCCUAAGAGUGCUGCAGAACCUGAGCCUUUUAUUUCUAGUAAUAGAAAUCCACGUGGGUCUCAAGAAGUGUUAAAAAAACAGGUUUUGCAAGCAACAGUUUUUCAUAAAGGCAAAAAUAUAAUAUAUAUAUAUAAAAUACAUAUCCUAUGCUCUGUGAUUAUCUGGCUUGCCCAUUCCAGGUCCCCUGAGCAGAUAACUGCAUCCUCAGCUCCCACACCCUCCAUCCUCAGCUCCUCACCCUCCAUGCUGGCCACUGUGCUGUACAUUAUUGCAAAGGAGCACAGCUGGGUGCUGGACUGUAAUUUCUCAUGCAGCUCAGAUCAGGUCCAUUAGUCUAUUUGAAGGUUAGGACCAAGACCAUGGAAGUGCACGAGAAGCUAAUAGACAGACUGGUGUUCCUGCUGUGUUCACGGGGGCUUAAACUAGGGAGAAAAUAGUCAGGCACAUCCAUAUUAUUUUCACCUUUUGCUUCAUGAUUUGCAGUAGUCUCAUUCAUAAAUGACAAAGAAAGAGCUCCCUGCUGCGAGGUCUUCAUACCACAGAGAGCUGUAAUGAGUUUGUAACGAGAUGGAGAUCAGGAAGAUUUUUAGUGAUUGCUCAGACAAAUCUCUGAGUGCAAAUCAGAGAUGUGCUGAGUGAGGGGUAUAUCUUUCCAUCACUCCAUGGCUUAAACAUCUGAGGAUACUGAGGAUACUUAAGGCAUUCUCAUGGUAUUAUGUAAGAAGAACUCAGGAAGACAAAAAUGUCCUAAAUGCAUCUUUAUGGAUUUUUUGCCUUUGCUGUGUGUCAGAAACUUUUGUAAUUUGACAGCCACCAGCAGUGAUUAAUGGCUGGCAAUAUGGCUAGGGGCAAUGUGUGUUUCAAAGUCAGUAUCAGGAAAGCCUCUGUGUGGCUUUGACAUCUGGGAAGUCUUUGGCUGUGGAACUGUCUCCUUGCAAAAUCAGAAACAUGUAUUUUGCCUGUGUGCUCAUUGAAGAGCUCCAAAUAAAUAGCUGGAAUAUAAAUGAAGAGGAGUGAAAAACAGGAGAAUAUUUACCUUAGAGUGUGGUGCUAAAAUGAGAUUUAAGGGUUGUUUCUCUUUUGGUCUUUUAUGAUAGCUUCAGUAUAUUUAUGUUUUUCAUAGGUAUGCAUAUAUAUUUGUAGAGGUCUAUACAUGUAAGUGCUCCCGAAAUAAAUGUUUUAUUUUCAUUUUCUUAGAAGCAUCAGGUGUUUUCUGUGUUGAAUCUUAGCAUAGGUAAUAUAUAUAUCCUGAUACUAAAG
This is a long non-coding RNA of Prinia subflava (tawny-flanked prinia), 2606 nucleotides long. RefSeq lists it as uncharacterized. NCBI's taxonomy places the organism in Eukaryota, Metazoa, Chordata, Aves, Passeriformes, Cisticolidae. The record is from RefSeq and is a predicted model, not a curated record. The transcript is spliced from 3 exons.